CAUGCGGUGCCUGGCAGCUUGCAUUGCUUUUAUCGUGAUGCAAAUCCGUGACUUGGUAGCGGCAUGACCUAUACAGAGGU
This is a regulatory RNA element of Marinobacter sp. X15-166B, 80 nucleotides long. It matches the Rfam family "L31-Gammaproteobacteria ribosomal protein leader". NCBI's taxonomy places the organism in Bacteria, Pseudomonadati, Pseudomonadota, Gammaproteobacteria, Pseudomonadales, Marinobacteraceae. The record is from Rfam.